GAGCAGAGGAAGAGAGGAGACGCUGAGGAGGACGCAGGACGAAGAAAGAAGAGAAGAAGAAGAAAAGGACACAGACAGCUCAGACCUGUCUCACCUCUCACACACUGGUUGGAGUACUGACAGUGUUCUCAGCCCAGCAGCUGACACCACUCCGCUGCUAUACAUUACCCAUCAUGCCUCAGUGGGUCCAGGCAGACGUCCUCUUCGCUCCUCGUCCUCCCCCUCGUCCUCCCCUCUGGUCUACAGCGUCCUGGUGGAGGACAGACAGCCGCGUUACAGCCUGAGGAGCCGACGAGCUGAGACCCGCUGAUUCACGCCGCCGUCGCCCUGAUGCAGUCGCAGCCUUCGUGUUUUAAACUCGUCCCUUCGUGUCAAUAAAGCAGUUUUA
Molecule: long non-coding RNA, 388 nt
Organism: Toxotes jaculatrix (banded archerfish)
Lineage: Eukaryota; Metazoa; Chordata; Actinopteri; Toxotidae
Exons: 3
Source: RefSeq, a predicted model, not a curated record